CAACAACGGAUCUCUUGGCUCUCGCAUCGAUGAAGAACGCAGCGAAAUGCGAUAAGUAAUGUGAAUUGCAGAAUUCAGUGAAUCAUCGAAUCUUUGAACGCAACUUGCGCUCUCUGGUAUUCCGGAGAGCAUGCCUGUUUGAGUAUCAUGAAAUCUCAACCAUUAGGGUUUCUUAAUGGCUUGGAAUUGGGUGUUGCCAGUCCCCUGGCUCGCCUUAAAAGAGUUAGCGUGUUUAACUUGUCUAUCUGGCGUAAUAAGUUUCGCUGGUGUCGGCUUGAGAAGUACGCUUCUAAUCGUCUUCGGACAAUUCUUGAACUCUGGUCUCAAAUCAGGUAGGGCUACCCGCUGAACUUAA
RNAcentral lists this small RNA (355 nucleotides) under uncultured fungus. Its description in RNAcentral is "eukaryotic LSU rRNA". The stretch from base 1 to 148 matches the Rfam family "5.8S ribosomal RNA". The record is from RNAcentral. Lineage: Eukaryota; Fungi.